GCCUGAGUGGUUCAGUAGGUUAAGUGUCUGACUUUGGCUCAGGUCACUAUCUCGUGGUUCAUGAGUUCGAGUCCCAUGUCAGGCU
RNAcentral lists this transfer RNA (85 nucleotides) under Felis catus (domestic cat). It matches the Rfam family "tRNA". Rfam says of the family: Transfer RNA (tRNA) molecules are approximately 80 nucleotides in length. Their secondary structure includes four short double-helical elements and three loops (D, anti-codon, and T loops). Further hydrogen bonds mediate the characteristic L-shaped molecular structure. tRNAs have two regions of fundamental functional importance: the anti-codon, which is responsible for specific mRNA codon recognition, and the 3' end, to which the tRNAs corresponding amino acid is attached (by aminoacyl-tRNA synthetases). tRNAs cope with the degeneracy of the genetic code in two manners: having more than one tRNA (with a specific anti-codon) for a particular amino acid; and 'wobble' base-pairing, i.e. permitting non-standard base-pairing at the 3rd anti-codon position. Lineage: Eukaryota; Metazoa; Chordata; Mammalia; Carnivora; Felidae. The record is from Rfam by way of RNAcentral.